RNAcentral lists this ribosomal RNA (1054 nucleotides) under Hemerobius stigmata. RNAcentral's name for it is "SSU rRNA". It matches the Rfam family "Eukaryotic small subunit ribosomal RNA", at positions 395 to 1343 of the family's 1831-position model. Lineage: Eukaryota; Metazoa; Arthropoda; Insecta; Neuroptera; Hemerobiidae. The record is from RNAcentral.
CCUGAGAAACGGCUACCACAUCCAAGGAAGGCAGCAGGCGCGCAAAUUACCCACUCCCGGCACGGGGAGGUAGUGACGAAAAAUAACGAUACGGGACUCAUCCGAGGCCCCGUAAUCGGAAUGAGUACACUUUAAAUCCUUUAACGAGGACCAAUUGGAGGGCAAGUCUGGUGCCAGCAGCCGCGGUAAUUCCAGCUCCAAUAGCGUAUAUUAAAGUUGUUGCGGUUAAAAAGCUCGUAGUCAAUUUUGUGUCCCACACUGUCGGUUCACCGCUCGCGGUAACUGGCAUGUUAUGUGGACGUCUACCGGUGGGUGGUGUGCUGUAUGCGUAUUUAGUGUUGUCUUGUACUCUCACUUGUAUGUGUGCUGCAUUGUAAGUGCUUAGCCGUGAAGAACGCGGCAGCCCCCAAUUACAAUCCCGUCGCGGUCCUCUUAAUUGAGUGUCGAGGUGGGCCGGUUUCUUUGAACAAAUUAGAGUGCUUAAAGCAGGCUAAAAUUUUGCCUAAAUAUUGUGUGCAUGGAAUAAUGGAAUAGGACCUCGGUUCUAUUUUGUUGGUUUUCGGAACUCCGAGGUAAUGAUUAAUACGGACAGAUGGGGGCAUUCGUAUUGCGACGUUAGAGGUGAAAUUCUUGGACCGUCGCAAGACGGACAGAAGCGAAAGCAUUUGCCAAAAAUGUUUUGAUUGAUCAAGAACGAAAGUUAGAGGUUCGAAGGCGAUCAGAUACCGCCCUAGUUCUAACCAUAAACGAUGCCAGCUAGCGAUCCGCCGAAGUUCCUCCGAUGACUCGGCGGGCAGCUUCCGGGAAACCAAAGCGUUUGGGUUCCGGGGGAAGUAUGGUUGCAAAGCUGAAACUUAAAGGAAUUGACGGAAGGGCACCACCAGGAGUGGAGCCUGCGGCUUAAUUUGACUCAACACGGGAAACCUCACCAGGCCCAGACACCGGAAGGAUUGACAGAUUGAGAGCUCUUUCUUGAUUCGGUGGGUGGUGGUGCAUGGCCGUUCUUAGUUGGUGGAGCGAUUUGUCUGGUUAAUUCCGAUAACGAACGAGACUC